RNAcentral lists this non-coding RNA (29 nucleotides) under Rattus norvegicus (Norway rat). Lineage: Eukaryota; Metazoa; Chordata; Mammalia; Rodentia; Muridae. The record is from RNAcentral.
UGAAAGUCCUCUGCUUUUCUAAAAGGUUA